Molecule: long non-coding RNA, 464 nt
Organism: Suricata suricatta (meerkat)
Lineage: Eukaryota; Metazoa; Chordata; Mammalia; Carnivora; Herpestidae
Exons: 2
Source: RefSeq, a predicted model, not a curated record
UUAUCUUCAUCCUCCUUCUUUCCUUCUUCCAGCAAAUGUAUUUGGGGAACUCACUGUGUGCUGGGCACUUGAUCCAGAAGUCAUACGGUGGGCUUAGAGGUGGCCAAAUUGAGUGCAAAUGAGCAUCAGCGGAAGGAGACAUGGUCUUUUGGAAUACUUUAGCAAGACCUGAAGAUAGAAGAAUGUGUUGUUUAUGUAGAAAUGCAUAAACCCUCAGGCAGAUGUAUGGAGGAACCAUCAAAGUAUACCAUAUUUUAAAAGUGUCUAUGAGAUGUAGGUGAUGUCCAAAAAAGACCAGUGUGGGGAAGGACUAUGGAGUGGCAAAAGGAAGGGAGAGAGAACAAGGAGGAGAAGAAUCAAUAAGAAAGUCAGAAAAAAUACCUGUUGCAUUUUAUCUCAUAAAAUCACAGUUCUCUCUGAUAAAACUCUCUAAAUAUGAUAAGAAAUAUGAUAAUUUACCUUAA